RNAcentral lists this ribosomal RNA (558 nucleotides) under Allobates chalcopis (Martinique volcano frog). Its description in RNAcentral is "12S ribosomal RNA". It matches the Rfam family "Bacterial small subunit ribosomal RNA", at positions 727 to 1533 of the family's 1533-position model. Lineage: Eukaryota; Metazoa; Chordata; Amphibia; Anura; Aromobatidae. The record is from RNAcentral.
UAUUCCAAUCAGACCCACUUGAACUCAUGACAACUGAGACACAAACUGGGAUUAGAUACCCCACUAUGCUCAGUCGUAAACUUUAAAUUACAUUUUACUCGCCUGGGAACUACGAGCUAAGCUUAAAACCCAAAGGACUUGACGGUACCCCACAUCCACCUAGAGGAGCCUGUCCUAUAAUCGAUAAUCCACGUUUAACCUCACCAUUUUUAGCUUACUCAGCCUGUAUACCUCCGUCGUCAGCUUACCCCGUGAGCGCUAGUGAGCUCAAUGUUUAUUCAACAAUACGUCAGGUCAAGGUGCAACUCAUAAAAUGGGAAGAGAUGGGCUACAUUUUCUAACAUAGACUACACGGAAGACUACUUAUGAAACCUAGUCAAAAGGCGGAUUUAGCAGUAAAUAGGAACUAGAAAAUCCUUCUUAAUUUGGCACUGGGGUGUGUACACACCGCCCGUCACCCUCCUCUUACGCUUAAUAAAGUUUUUAACAAGAUUUAGCUUUUAUAGAAGAGGUAAGUCGUAACAUGGUAAGUAUACCGGAAGGUGUGCUUGGAAUCAA